CCUACGGGUGGCAGCAGUGGGGAAUAUUGCACAAUGGGGGAAACCCUGAUGCAGCGACGCCGCGUGAGCGACGAAGUAUCUCGGUAUGUAAAGCUCUAUCAGCAGGGAAGAAAAUGACGGUACCUGACUAAGAAGCCCCGGCUAACUACGUGCCAGCAGCCGCGGUAAUACGUAGGGGGCGAGCGGUAUCCGGAUGUACUGGGGGGAAAGGGAGCGUAGACGGGUUUGCAAGCCCGAUGUGAAAGCCUGGGGCGUAACCGCGGGACUGCAUUUGGAACUGUCGAACUGGAGUGCCGGAGAGGCAAGCGGAAUGCCUAGUGUAGCGGUGAAAUGCGUAGAUAUUAGGAGGAACACCAGUGGCGAAGGCGGCCUGCUGGACGGUAACUGACGUUGAGGCUCGAAAGCGUGGGGAGCAAACAGGAUUAGAUACCCCUGUAGUC
RNAcentral lists this ribosomal RNA (440 nucleotides) under uncultured bacterium. RNAcentral describes it as "partial 16S ribosomal RNA". It matches the Rfam family "Bacterial small subunit ribosomal RNA", at positions 338 to 795 of the family's 1533-position model. The record is from RNAcentral.